This 337-nucleotide ribosomal RNA is filed under the name Escherichia coli. RNAcentral's name for it is "bacterial SSU rRNA". It matches the Rfam family "Bacterial small subunit ribosomal RNA", at positions 1 to 334 of the family's 1533-position model. The record is from RNAcentral. Lineage: Bacteria; Pseudomonadati; Pseudomonadota; Gammaproteobacteria; Enterobacterales; Enterobacteriaceae.
AAAUUGAAGAGUUUGAUCAUGGCUCAGAUUGAACGCUGGCGGCAGGCCUAACACAUGCAAGUCGAACGGUAACAGAAAGCAGCUUGCUGCUUUGCUGACGAGUGGCGGACGGGUGAGUAAUGUCUGGGAAACUGCCCGAUGGAGGGGGAUAACUACUGGAAACGGUAGCUAAUACCGCAUAACGUCGCAAGACCAAAGAGGGGGACCUUCGGGCCUCUUGCCAUCGGAUGUGCCCAGAUGGGAUUAGCUAGUAGGUGGGGUAAAGGCUCACCUAGGCGACGAUCCCUAGCUGGUCUGAGAGGAUGACCAGCCACACUGGAACUGAGACACGGUCCAG